GGAACCACUAGAAGAUACGAAAUUCUGACUGAAAUGUCAGCAACAGUAAGCGCAGGACAUGAGCAGGUCACUCGCUGCUAACCUGCACAAAGACAGGUUUUCUCAGGGUGGAAACAGCCCCAACCAAAUCCGUGUCUCCCACAGCACAUCCUACGGAUCUUCAGUAAAUGGUUGUCAGACUGAUUUUGCAAGUGGAAACACCAAACUGACUCUAGUCAAUUGGAGGCCUUGCCAGGUAACCAGACUUCCACAUGAGGCCAAAGCUCUUUGUUUCUAAUGGAGUGUAGGUGAUACUUGCAGAUAUCCAUUUGUUUGUGUUAAUUUGCAUAGUGGUUUUAUUGUUUGGUCUAAGGGGAGGGGAAGAAUGUGUUUUUUGUUUGUUGGAGAAGGUCUGAGAAAUGACAAAGAUGAAAGAGGGAAGAAAUUCCUUGCCACCCUCUUCAUGUGACAUUUGUGGAGAGCAGAGGGCUGGAGACCAGGAAAGGAGCUGACUUCAUACAAGACUAUGUAAGAUUCUUGGCAGACCUCUGGAUGCUUCAAGACAUAAAUGACAAGGUUCUUUCUGUGUGUCUGCCUCUCUAUUUGUUCUUUUUAGUUAUAUAUGACAGUACAGUAUAAGUUGACUUGCUUAUACAAACAUGGAAUACAUCUUAUUCUCAUUAGGAUUCCAGUCUUGUGAUGGCACAUGUUGUACAGAUUCACUGCAGUGUAUUCAUAUAUGAACAUAUAAAAGUUAUGUCAGAAUCAUUCCAUUGUCUUUCCUACUUUCCCCUCUCCCUUCCCUUCAUUCCCCUUCAUCUAAUCUACUAGACUUCUAUUCUUCCCCUUCCCCCUUGUUGUGUAUUAGCAUCUACUUAUCAGAGAGAAUAUUCAACCUUUUUUUUU
RNAcentral lists this long non-coding RNA (885 nucleotides) under Ictidomys tridecemlineatus (thirteen-lined ground squirrel). RNAcentral describes it as "lncRNA (ENSSTOG00000031796.1)". Lineage: Eukaryota; Metazoa; Chordata; Mammalia; Rodentia; Sciuridae. The record is from RNAcentral.